Molecule: ribosomal RNA, 439 nt
Filed under: uncultured bacterium
Lineage: Bacteria
Description: partial 16S ribosomal RNA
Rfam family: Bacterial small subunit ribosomal RNA
Source: RNAcentral
CCUACGGGAGGCAGCAGUGGGGAAUAUUGCACAAUGGGCGAAAGCCUGAUGCAGCAACGCCGCGUGAGCGAUGAAGGCCUUCGGGUCGUAAAGCUCUGUCCUCAAGGAAGAUAAUGACGGUACUUGAGGAGGAAGCCCCGGCUAACUACGUGCCAGCAGCCGCGGUAAUACGUAGGGGGCUAGCGUUAUCCGGAAUUACUGGGCGUAAAGGGGGCGUAGGUGGAUUCUUAAGUCAGAGGUGAAAGGCUACGGCUCAACCGUAGUAAGCCUUUGAAACUGGGGAACUUGAGUGCAGGAGAGGAGAGUGGAAUUCCUAGUGUAGCGGUAAAAUGCGUAGAUAUUAGGAGGAACACCAGUUGCGAAGGCGACUCUCUAGACUGUAACUGACACUGAGGCACGAAAGCGUGGGGAGCAAACAGGAUUAGAUACCCCAGUAGUC